Molecule: long non-coding RNA, 551 nt
Filed under: Homo sapiens (human)
Lineage: Eukaryota; Metazoa; Chordata; Mammalia; Primates; Hominidae
Description: non-protein coding lnc-ZNF813-1:4
Source: RNAcentral
GUUCUCAUGCACGUGACCGGCAAGUGGAGCAACAAAAAUACCACAAAGACAAAAGAUCUGGGAUACUGUUCUGCUGCUGAUCACGAGGACACCAGAGAGUCGCUGACGCGGCACUGCUGUCCUUCCCUGAUGUGAUCUGCCUGGGGCUCAUGCUCUGGGGCAGCAGCUCCAUCGUUUGCAUCCUGCACAGGCACAAGCGGCGGGUCCAGCACAUUCAUAGGACCAGCGUCUCCCCCACAUCCUCCCCUGAGUCCGGAGCUACCAAAACCAUCCUCCUGGUUCUAGCAUGUAUUAACACCGUGUGUCUAAAGUCAUCCCUGCUGGUCAUCUGGAGGAAUCUGAGAAGGGGCAGGUCUUUCUUCUGACUCUCAGAGCAGCACCCUCUGCUGGACAGGGCUGGGCACCUCAUCUCAAGCCCAAUCUGAUCCACCAACAGGGUCUGUUAUCUCCGGUCCGGGGAAGAGUCAAGCUGCACUAAUCUAGACCAGGGAUCCCCACCCCUGGGCUGCGGACCGGUCCCCAUGGGUGGCCUGUUAGGAACUGGACCGCAC